This 498-nucleotide ribosomal RNA is filed under the name uncultured bacterium. RNAcentral describes it as "partial 16S ribosomal RNA". It matches the Rfam family "Bacterial small subunit ribosomal RNA", at positions 30 to 523 of the family's 1533-position model. The record is from RNAcentral.
AUUGAACGCUGGCGGCAUGCCUUACACAUGCAAGUCGAACGGUAACGGGCCUUCGGGUGCCGACGAGUGGCGAACGGGUGAGUAAUGCAUCGGAACGUACCUUUCAGUGGGGGAUAACGUAGCGAAAGUUACGCUAAUACCGCAUAUUCUGUGAGCAGGAAAGCAGGGGAUCGCAAGACCUUGCGCUGAUUGAGCGGCCGAUGUCAGAUUAGCUAGUUGGUGAGGUAAAGGCUCACCAAGGCGACGAUCUGUAGCGGGUCUGAGAGGAUGGUCCGCCACACUGGGACUGGGACACGGCCCAGACUCCUACGGGAGGCAGCAGUGGGGAAUUUUGGACAAUGGGGGCAACCCUGAUCCAGCCAUGCCGCGUGAGUGAAGAAGGCCUUCGGGUUGUAAAGCUCUUUCGGCCGGGAAGAAAUCGCACAGGCUAAUGCCUUGUGUGGAUGACGGUACCGGAAUAAGAAGCACCGGCUAACUACGUGCCAGCCGCCGCAGUAA